AAAAGCAGCAGUGACUCCACUUCAGCAGCUGUGAUCAUUGGAGAAGAAUUACUGCCAUCAUUCAUGACUUUGUAGUUUGGAAGGGCUGUCAGCACUAACCUUUGCAUCUUUGGGCAAGAAACCACUAUCAAGUCAUUAAUAAGAAGUCUUCAGGACCAACUAAAGAAUAGGUAAAUCUUGGACAAUUCUUUGGGAUUGAACUGAAAGAGAUAUAAUGAUAGCAACCCCUGAAGAGAAUCUGGAGGGAUCUGAUUGAUACAAGGCAACCCACUGCAUGGAACCCUUCAAAAAGCAGAGAUUAUAGAAAGGUUGUGAAGAAAAGGAUGAAUAGGAAAUCAUAUGCAUGUCUGCCAUGUGACAUGAGGCUAAAGAAGCAUUUUGAGUAGCCAAGGAAACUGGAUUCUUUGCAGAACAAUGUACAAUAGACCAAUCCUGCCCUAAAUGCACAUUGAUUUUCAUCAGAAUAAUUGCAGUAAAAGCAGAAUUUAGUUAUAAGCAUAUAUCCCAGAUCACUUUCACCUAUGGAAAAUGCUAAUAAAUGGAUGAGAAUGUAAGAACCAACCUGUCUGGGCUUCAUUGUACUACUCCUAUGAUCCUUACAAUUUUUCUUUAAGGUAGAUGGUGUAUUUGUGUAAUUGUCCUCAUUGUGUAGAUGAAGCU
Long non-coding RNA from Sarcophilus harrisii (Tasmanian devil), 660 nucleotides. RefSeq lists it as uncharacterized. NCBI's taxonomy places the organism in Eukaryota, Metazoa, Chordata, Mammalia, Dasyuromorphia, Dasyuridae. The record is from RefSeq and is a predicted model, not a curated record. The transcript has 3 exons.